UUCACUUCCUCAAGAAACAAAUUAUAUAUGAAUUUGGAAUUUACAUUCCAAUUUGAGUCCAAGUGCAUAGUGUCCUCAUAAACAAUAUCCAGAAAAUUACUUAAAAGACCUCAAAAUUGCAAACCAGAAAAUUUACAGCUAUAUCACCACCUUCUUGAAGUGUACAAAAUAUUUAAAAAUAAGGCAAAAAAAUGUUCAACAAAUUCUACACCUAUCAAAGAUGAAGAUCUUCAAUGUCAGUGAUACCAUUAAUGGACUUUUUAUCAGGUAAGUUGACCACCAGCUGACCACAGGCACCACUUAUGUCCUGACCCAUUUGCUUCCGAACUGUUGUCCGAAUGUUAUAGUCCCCUCUAAGAAUUAUCUGGAAUCUUGAUACUUUCUCCUCGCUACUGGUUCUGAAUUGACUCAAACUACCAAUUGGGUUGAAAGGUAUCAAGUUCACAACCUGAUUGGAAAGUUAGAGAGUCAAAUGCAAAGGGCAUUAUGCAAUCGAUUAGGUAACAGCUGAGUUAAUGAAGUUACAACUAAACAUACAAGCAAGAAAGUCAAAUGAAUAAUGCCAUUUACAGUUCAGCUAUCAAACAAGUCAGCACAAAUGCACAAUGGCAAUGCCAAAGAAUUCAUGGUGCCAAAAAAGGAUAAUUAUGUUUUUUAAGCGAAACGGUUAUUAUCAAAAGGAAAAAGAAAUGUGUAAUUGAAUCAAAUUAUCGAAGUUCAUAGGGUAUGAAUUAUGAUAGAAUGUUUGUAAAAUGUUGCACGACACCAAUGCAUCAUGCACUUCGUACAUGCUCAAAUUUAAAUUUAAUAGCUCACCACUUGAAAUGUCUCUAGCAAUUUACCAAGCUGAUGGGCAUGUUGCUCUUCAUCAUUUACUCCAUCAAGCAUUAUGUACUCGAUAAAAAUUUUCUGCUGACUGAAUUGAAACCAAAUAUGAGAGCAUACAUUGCAAAGAAAUGUAAGUGCAGAUAGUUAUGUACAGGAAAAUGAAUAGCCAUGUUUUACCUAUUUUUUUGAUACAAUUGCAGAGCAUCCAUAAGCUUUUCUAAAGGAAAAGCCCGAGCUGCUGGCAUUAUAUGACAGCGGAUAUCUUGAACUGGUGCAUGCAAUGAAACUGCCAAGUUCAAACCGGGAAGAUCUUUCUGAAGCUUGUUAAUAGCAUGGAUGACACCAACCUACAGAAUAUUAGUCAGUCAGUCCAAGUCAAGUAAUUCCUGCAUUCAUGAAUCCAUUUUCAAUUUUUAAAUUACUUGUUAGAGCUUCCAGAAAAAAAACAUAGACAGUCAAGUCAAAUAUAUCGAAGAAAAGCAAAAAAAGAACACUUCUACAGAACAUUUCAUCUGUUUGCUAAAAUAUCUGGUUGUGGGUACAUCCAUACAUGUAUAUCAUAAAGCUUACUCUCCCAAUAAUCUUCAAUCGCACAUCAUGAGAACAUCAAGAGAAGAAAAUGAUAAGAGUAAUGGCCCAUGCUGAUGAUAUAUCUAACAGUAGAAUGGUAGAAAUAUUGGAAUUUACCAUAUCUCAGUUACCAGGAUAAAAAAUGUAAAUUCUAAAGCCAUUUCAUAACUUACAAGAUAGUUGGGUGUGCAGAAUUUUAAUAAUACUAUUAUCCUUUACCUUUUCUUUUAAAAAAAAUAAAAAAGGUAAAAGUUAACCAAUAUCCUAGAAUGCAGAGGCAGUAAAGGGCCAAUCUUCCACAAACCACUGCAAGUAAAUUUAACAAGAAAUCCAAUAGAUUAGAAGACAGGAAUAUGAAACCUAGUCACCUAAGUAAGAAAAUUUAACAGUUGACCUAUUAGGAGACCUAAAAUAAAACCAAAAUUCAAUACAUACAUGAUGAAAAUCAUUAAAGAAAAAGUAUACACAAUGCAAUUACACAUACUGUUGACACAGUAAUUCUCUUUGGUGACAACUGAAAUGGAGGUCCCAGCAUCACGCGAAUUGCUUCCACCAGAGCAGUAUAAUUAUUCAAUGGUUCUCCCAUUCCCAUGAAAACAACAUUCCGUAUUUGGGAUAAAUAUGAUGCAUGGACUAACUGUUCAACAAUUUCUCCUGAUGAUAGAUUGUUUUUGAAUCCCAUGCUUCCAGUAGCACAAAACUUGCAACCCAUUUUACAACCAACCUGAGAUGAUAUGCACAGAGUUGACCUUAGGCCACCAGGACGGGGUUUUCCACCAUAUUUUCCCAAUCGAGUGUCAUACCUCAUAAUAACAGCCUCCACAAAAGCUCCAUUCUGAAGUUUAAUAAGAAGCUUGGUGGUGACCCCAUCAUUUGAUUCAACAAUAGAAUGAAGAGUGGAAGAGAGAGUUCUGAACUUGGAACGCAGGAGUGAGUAGGCAGCUGAGGGCAAAUUGGGUAUAUCAUCCCACUCGCAGUUAGGGUUCUUGAUCACAUACUUCCAAAUGAAAGGGAUGAAGUGGAGGCUGAUACCCACUUUCUCAAACUCUCUCCUGAGAUCCGGGGCGUCGAAAAUUGAUCCAGAGUUCAUUUUUGUGGCCAUACAGAUACAGUGAAAUAAUGGCGGUGAAGGAUGUUUUGGUGCUGGAUUGUGCUAAGAAAUCAGGACACAGCUUCUGGGUAAACGGCGGAGGCGGUCAGCGUUUUCUUAUUGGAAAUCAACUAACUAACCCAGGCCU
This 2636-nucleotide unclassified non-coding RNA is filed under the name Hevea brasiliensis (rubber tree). The record is from RNAcentral. Lineage: Eukaryota; Viridiplantae; Streptophyta; Magnoliopsida; Malpighiales; Euphorbiaceae.